Molecule: transfer RNA, 78 nt
Filed under: Thioclava sp.
Lineage: Bacteria; Pseudomonadati; Pseudomonadota; Alphaproteobacteria; Rhodobacterales; Paracoccaceae
Description: tRNA-Thr
Source: RNAcentral
UCUAUUUCCAAAACCGGCAGGUAGGUCGCUCCUUUGGUAAGGGAGAGGUCGAGAGUUCAAGUCUCUCCAGCAGCACCA